RNAcentral lists this ribosomal RNA (387 nucleotides) under Triticum aestivum (bread wheat). Its description in RNAcentral is "partial small subunit ribosomal RNA". The record is from RNAcentral. Lineage: Eukaryota; Viridiplantae; Streptophyta; Magnoliopsida; Poales; Poaceae.
CUAGGACAACAUCUAUCUGGUUUAUCUUUUGAAGACUUGAAGCAUUUACAAAAUCAUCUAGAAACGAGCUUGUAUAACAUUCGACUAACUAAGGACAAAUUUAUUGGCGAUGAAAUGCAAGAGUUAAACAUGAAUGAAAGCCUCAUGCGUCAGGAAAAUAUAGAGCUACAUAGGAAAUUAAACAUCGUUCAUCAAGAGAAUACGGAAUUACAAAACAAGUUAAAUGAUCAAGGAGCAGUGAACAUGGGAAUAACAAGUCCUUUUACCAUGUGCAACAUUACUGCUCCAACGGACAAAAAAUCAGUUCGCCUGGAUUCAUGCCACGCAGAUUGGGAUGAUGAACCAGAAUCGUCCACCUUGUGCAUACUAUCACUAUCUGGAGAUUGA